RNAcentral lists this ribosomal RNA (29 nucleotides) under Corbicula sp. form B rr3. RNAcentral describes it as "partial 5.8S ribosomal RNA". Lineage: Eukaryota; Metazoa; Mollusca; Bivalvia; Venerida; Cyrenidae. The record is from RNAcentral.
CAACUCUAUGCGGUGGAUCACUCGGCUCG